GGCGAGAUGGCCGAGCGGUCUAAGGCGCCACGUUAAGGAUUUCCUUAAUAACAUCAAUCUCUCGAGAGUGAUUCCGUGGUCCGAAAGGGCGUGGGUUCGAAUCCCACUCUCGUCA
Molecule: non-coding RNA, 115 nt
Organism: Immersiella caudata
Lineage: Eukaryota; Fungi; Ascomycota; Sordariomycetes; Sordariales; Lasiosphaeriaceae
Source: the annotation of a GenBank genome assembly